This 253-nucleotide ribosomal RNA is filed under the name uncultured bacterium. RNAcentral describes it as "partial 16S ribosomal RNA". It matches the Rfam family "Bacterial small subunit ribosomal RNA", at positions 524 to 776 of the family's 1533-position model. The record is from RNAcentral.
UACGUAGGGUGCAAGCGUUAAUCGGAAUUACUGGGCGUAAAGCGUGCGCAGGCGGUUGUGCAAGACAGAUGUGAAAUCCCCGGGCUUAACCUGGGAAUUGCAUUUGUGACUGCACGGCUAGAGUGUGUCAGAGGGGGGUAGAAUUCCACGUGUAGCAGUGAAAUGCGUAGAUAUGUGGAGGAAUACCGAUGGCGAAGGCAAUCCCCUGGACCUGUACUGACGUUCAUGCACGAAAGCGUGGGGAGCAAACAGG